GACGAACGCUGGCGGCGCGCUUAACACAUGCAAGUCGAGCGAGAACCAGACCUUCGGGUCUGGGGACAGCGGCGAACGGGUGAGUAACACGUGGGUAAUCAACCCUCGGUACUGGGAUAGCCCGGGGAAACCCGGAUUAAUACCGGAUGGCCCUUCGGAUCUUCGGUUCCGAAGGAAAAGGUAGCUUCGGCCUCCGACCGAGGACGAGCCCGCGGCGGAUUAGCUUGUUGGUGGGGUAACGGCCUACCAAGGCGGCGAUCCGUAGCUGGUCUGAGAGGACGAUCAGCCACACUGGGACUGAGACACGGCCCAGACUUCUACGGAAGGCAGCAGUGGGGAAUCUUGCGCUAAUGCGGGAAACCGUGACGCAGCGACGCCGCGUGAGGGAAGAAGGCCUUCGGGUUGUAAACCUCUUUCAGAAGGGACGAAGCUACUCGGGUUAAUAGCCCAGAGGGUGACGGUACUUUCAGAAGAAGCCCCGGCUAACUACGUGCCAGCAGCCGCCGUAA
Molecule: ribosomal RNA, 509 nt
Filed under: uncultured bacterium
Lineage: Bacteria
Description: partial 16S ribosomal RNA
Rfam family: Bacterial small subunit ribosomal RNA
Source: RNAcentral